CUCUUAUCAAGAGAGGUGGAGGGACUGGCCCGAUGAAGCCCGGCAACCAAUCGUUAUGAAAAUAACGAUAAAGGUGCCAAUUCCUGCAGAACAGUUAUGUUCUGGGAGAUGAGGG
Molecule: non-coding RNA, 115 nt
Filed under: Marininema halotolerans
Lineage: Bacteria; Bacillati; Bacillota; Bacilli; Caryophanales; Thermoactinomycetaceae
Description: SAM-I sequence
Rfam family: SAM riboswitch aptamer (S box leader)
About the family: The SAM riboswitch is found upstream of a number of genes which code for proteins involved in methionine or cysteine biosynthesis in Gram-positive bacteria. The SAM riboswitch acts at the level of transcription termination control.
Source: RNAcentral